RNAcentral lists this long non-coding RNA (1226 nucleotides) under Catharus ustulatus (Swainson's thrush). RNAcentral describes it as "lncRNA (ENSCUSG00005012348.1)". The record is from RNAcentral. Lineage: Eukaryota; Metazoa; Chordata; Aves; Passeriformes; Turdidae.
GAAUCUUUUCCAAGUUACUUUAUGCCCCGAGGAGUCAGUACACCUGUUGGUCCUGCUCCUCCAGUGUGCUGGGCAGGGCAGGCAGGCAGGACUUACGAUGUCUCACAACCAUCAAGCUCAUUACUAAUCGUUUUGCCAUCCAACUCACAGCUGAAUUCCUCCUAUGUUAUACUACCAAAUCCUUUCUCCUCUUCCAAUCCCUCCAGUUGGAGUGCGCCAUCAACUGGUAGUGGCUCUACUUUCAGCUCAUGCUCCGGUUACAGAUCUUGGCCAUUCAGUAGUUUUUGGUCUUCCAGUCCCUCUGACUCAUCCUCCAGUUUUGGAUCACGCAGAGCCUAUUCUCUGCCUUCGCUCAGAUCUUUUCUGAACCAGAAUAUCUCAGCCAGAAGCAGAAGAAAUCUGUCUUGACUGUGACAGUUUUCUGAUGGAAUAUCCUAGCCUCUCCUCAGAAGGAAAAAGCUCUAGAAAUCUAAAAAAAGCUAAUUAAAGUACAGCUUUACCAACCUAUGUAUUGUAGAUCAGCGUAUCUUUUUGUCUUUAAUUUCAUAUUUUUAUGAAAAUGUGCAUUCACAUCUUCACAUUUCGUAGUUUUUAAUUAUUCAUAGACCAAAACACUUUUAAAACUCUUAUUUAUUGCAGUUGUUAAUUUUUUUAUAGUAUAUUUUAAAAUGUUCUAGAACAACACCUUUUGGGUAGUUUUCCUUAUUCCUAAAAAGCAAAUCCACAAGCCAUUUUAGUCUCUCUCUCUCCAAGUUGUUUCAUGCCUGUCUAUUUUAAACCAGGACUAAAAUACUUUAAUAGGGUUGAGAGGUAUCCAUUAAAUGUAUACCAGCGAUUCCUCUUGUGGAAUGUCACAGCCCUGACAUGAGUAUUUUUUUUUUUUUUUUCUCUCAUCAGCUCAGCUGCAGACACAUAUUUGAUUGCAAACUUAAGAAAGAUGAGCAAAAAUAAGAACAAUGUGAUGGGCCUUUGGGAGCACCCUUGCUGAUCUUUCUGCUUUUUCAGUUGAGCAACACUCUCAUCCAGGCAAACAGAUUGCACUCAGUAAUACAUAAUCAUUUGGCAGGAACUCUGUUGAUUUCUAGGAACAGCUGGAGGCCUUUAUCUCCACAGGAUGUUUUGGUUUUCCCACACUUGGGUUUUGGAUGCAAAUACCAUUGUCCCUGCUUUCUUGCAUAGAAGUCUCAUGGCUGGGCAAAAACUGCCCAGUGGGCCAUAUUCCAAAG